GAUGAACGCUGGCGGCGUGCCUAAUACAUGCAAGUCGAACGCUUUGUCUUUAAUUGAUAUGAAGAGCUUGCUCUGAUUUGAUUUUAUCUGACAAAGAGUGGCGAACGGGUGAGUAACACGUGGGUAACCUACCUCUUAGCAGGGGAUAACAUUUGGAAACAAGUGCUAAUACCGUAUAACACUAACAACCGCAUGGUUGUUAGUUGAAAGAUGGUUCUGCUAUCACUAAGAGAUGGACCCGCGGUGCAUUAGCUAGUUGGUAAGGUAAUGGCUUACCAAGGCGAUGAUGCGUAGCCGAGUUGAGAGACUGAUCGGCCACAAUGGGACUGAGACACGGCCCAUACUCCUACGGGAGGCAGCAGUAGGGAAUCUUCCACAAUGGGCGCAAGCCUGAUGGAGCAACGCCGCGUGUGUGAUGAAGGGUUUCGGCUCGUAAAACACUGUUAUAAGAGAAGAACGACAUUGAGAGUAACUGUUCAGUGUGUGACGGUAUCUUAUCAGAAAGAAACGGCUAAAUACGUG
Molecule: ribosomal RNA, 522 nt
Filed under: uncultured bacterium
Lineage: Bacteria
Description: partial 16S ribosomal RNA
Rfam family: Bacterial small subunit ribosomal RNA
Source: RNAcentral